Molecule: small nuclear RNA, 103 nt
Organism: Zalophus californianus (California sea lion)
Lineage: Eukaryota; Metazoa; Chordata; Mammalia; Carnivora; Otariidae
Source: Ensembl
CAGCACACAUACAGAUACUCUGUAUCUGGAAUGAUACAGAGAUUAUUUAGCAUGGUUCCUGCACUAGGAUGACAUGCAAAUUUGUGAAGUGUUCUAUAUUAAA